Molecule: ribosomal RNA, 448 nt
Filed under: uncultured bacterium
Lineage: Bacteria
Description: bacterial SSU rRNA
Rfam family: Bacterial small subunit ribosomal RNA
Source: RNAcentral
AGCGAACGCUGGCGGCAGGCUUAACACAUGCAAGUCGAACGGGCACUUCGGUGUCAGUGGCAGACGGGUGAGUAACGCGUGGGAACAUACCUCUUGGUUCGGAACAACACAGGGAAACUUGUGCUAAUACCGGAUAAGCCCUUACGGGGAAAGAUUUAUCGCCGAGAGAUUGGCCCGCGUCUGAUUAGCUAGUUGGUGUGGUAAAAGCGCACCAAGGCGACGAUCAGUAGCUGGCUGAGAGGAUGAUCAGCCACAUUGGGACUGAGACACGGCCCAAACUCCUACGGGAGGCAGCAGUGGGAAUAUUGGACAAUGGGCGCAAGCCUGAUCCAGCCAUGCCGCGUGAGUGAUGAAGGCCCUAGGGUUGUAAAGCUCUUUUGUACGGGAAGAUAAUGACGGUACCGUAAGAAUAAGCCCCGGCUAACUUCGUGCCAGCAGCCGCGGUAAC